AUGGUUCUACUAAAUAAAUUUAUGUCAAGAGUGAAUAUGGCUGAUGUGGACACUCUCUUUAGAAUAGAAGGUACAAGAGGAACUGACCAAUCAGAGGAAGGGACCAAAGAGGUCACAUGACCUUCCAGAGUGAGAAGGCUGCUGGAUCACAGUAGGGAAAGAAGCCACUUCUUGGGGAUAGAACCCAGGGAGGAAUAAAGAAACCCACUUUUCUACAGUCACAUAGAAAGUCAUAAAUAGCAGCAAAAUUGAAUUUCUAAGGCACCAGGAGAAUGAGGAGAAGCUUGUGGCUGACUUGAAUCCCUCAGAUGAUUUUGUUUUAUGAAGGAUGGGAUGAAAAUGUCAGAGUACACGGAAAACAUCUUAGUUCUUCCCAUCUCCAGUGGGAUCAUUCAAAUCCUGCCCCAGGUCCUGUUGAGCUAGUGCUGAUGCCCCAGGAAGAGGAGCAAAGAGGAAGCCUGAGAAAAAAAUGUGCAUCGCAUCGGCCAACAAUCCAUUUGGACUUUUUCUCUAUCUGUUUGCUUGUUUAUUUUUUUCCUAAGGGGCCAUUCCUUCAUCUGCUUCUCAGAAUUCUACACCAUCUCCUAAAACACAAAAAGGACACAGUUUGCCAGGCUUAGGUGACUUGGAGAAGGAUGAUGGAAAUCAUUCAGAUCAUUCCCUUGGCAAUGUAGCCAGCCCCAUUCUGGACUUCCCUGCCACGACAUCCUCAGUCUCUCACACAUAAGGUAAUCCAGGUUGAAUAUUUCUUCAGUCAUGUUUCUGGAGUCUGAAAGAAAACAAAGUCUCACAGUGUUCAAGAAUUCAGCUACUGAGACUGAAGCCAAAUAGAUUCUUGGAGAAAUGUGAAGAAAGGUAAUGGCACACUUG
Sarcophilus harrisii (Tasmanian devil) is the source of this 870-nucleotide long non-coding RNA. RefSeq lists it as uncharacterized. The record is from RefSeq and is a predicted model, not a curated record. The transcript is spliced from 3 exons. Lineage: Eukaryota; Metazoa; Chordata; Mammalia; Dasyuromorphia; Dasyuridae.